Molecule: long non-coding RNA, 1724 nt
Organism: Homo sapiens (human)
Lineage: Eukaryota; Metazoa; Chordata; Mammalia; Primates; Hominidae
Source: Ensembl
AGACAGCUUCCGCUGACAAGCCAGCCUAGGGCCACCCUGCUUCGGAAGCGUGUGGGCCCUCCAGGCUUCCAUCUGCGGACUGCACAUCACAGGGAGGGAGUGUUCCGCACCAGGCAGGGCACCAUGGAAACACCGUGGGAAGGCUGGAGAACUCUGCUUCUGGACGUGUUCAUUCAGGCCCAUCCUUGUCUCCACCUCACUUACUCUCUUCACUUCUGGCAGGGCUGAAUGCCCUCAUUUUACCCAACACCAGGAAUCUCCAAGGAACCCCAGAAAGUUGCAGGACCCUGGACUCCUUUCUUGUAGCUAGGGGUCAGGUCAGGCACAUGCACAUCAGCUGCCGGGGAGGAAGUGGGGUGCAGGGAUGCAGACCGGGCUGCAAAAUAGCCUCUCAACAUCCCAGCCUCUCUGCAGGAGAGAUGCUGCCCGUGGCCACUCCAGAGUUGGUGGACCUCAUUCAUGUCUCCAGGAGAGAUAAACGACUUUAACAAAACCCAGCAAUAUUAGCAAAGCCUGUGGCCAGAACAUUUCAGUGAGUAAUUUUAAUGCCCAGGUGUGUAGCAUGGCACAGAAAAACAUCUUUGAGGAUGGAUUAACAACACAUUUUGCCAUCCCCUGAGAGAUUUUACCCUGAACGCACACAUCUCUAAGAGAUGGUGUGGUCCCUAUCAUUAGAUUGUUAUGAAGAAUGCUUUAGGAAGUCUCUCCCAGGUGCCAAGGCUCCUCUGGGAAAAGGUUCAAAGGGUGGUGGGCCAGUCCUCUGGGCACAUGCAUUCCUGGUGCAGACCACCAGAAUUGUGCCAGUAGUAGCUAAGGGUGUUAGCAAGUCCUGGUGCAUGCCACGGUGCAGGCCCAGGCAGCCAGCCUGUGCUCUUCAUUCUGGGACAGUGCUGUCCUGGACUGUCCUUUAUGACCACCCCCAGCCUUGGUUCUGCAGUGGGGCAUGGUUGUGUGCUGGUGGCAACAAGGACACGCCCUGACCCUCUGCUCCCUCUCUUGUUCUCCUUUUGUUUUAACAUUUUCCUCAGAUUAUAGAAUUACCACAUGCCAACUAUUAUGAGCUGAAUUGGGCCUUCCCACCCACAAAUCCAUGUGUUAAAGCCCUAACCCCUAGCACCUCAGAAUGUGACUGUAUUUGGAGAUAGGAUCUUUAAAGAAGUAAAUAAGUUAAAUGAGAUCAUUAGGGUGGGCUCUCAUCAAAUUUGACUGAUGUCCUUCUAAGAAGAUGGGGACACAGACACACACAGGGGGAAGACCACGUGAAGACACAGGGCAUCUGCAAGCCAAGGAGAGAGAGAGGCCUCAGGACUCUGCCAGCACCUUGAGCUCAGUCUUCCAGCCUCCACAACUAAUAUGGCUGUACGGCAAUGCUGAGACAUCACGCUGAGCGAGAGUGGACAUCCUCAUUUUAUUCCUACCCUUACCGUGGAUCUCUCCUGUGCUUCACCACUCAGUAUAAUGCUGGCUGAGCUCUUCUGACAAAUACCUUCCAAGAUGUGAGGAAAACACACGUAGGUGCAGUUGUUGAAUUGUAUGAUCUGCCACUGAAGUAAUUAGUGUGAUAAUUACUUGGAUUUUCUCCUUUAACAAAUUAUUGUUAUAAAUUAUAUUAAUAUAUGUCAUGCUAAUAAAUUAUUUCCAUAUUCCUAGGAAUAAAGCUGGGUAGUUUGUGGUAUAUUAUUCUUUGAAUUUAUUCCUGGAUUUAACGUAAAAAUAUUUUAUAG